This 2844-nucleotide long non-coding RNA is filed under the name Sorghum bicolor (sorghum). RNAcentral describes it as "long non-coding RNA (SBIC_LNC012034)". Lineage: Eukaryota; Viridiplantae; Streptophyta; Magnoliopsida; Poales; Poaceae. The record is from RNAcentral.
UUGCAUGUAGAACAAAGUUCCUCAGCUGACAUUAAUGAUGGGGACAGUGGAACAGUCCCAUUUAUGCAAGAAACUCUUUGAAAAUUUAUCAUCUUCCCAGAAAUUCUAUCCUGUAAUGCUUCAAACUCCCUAUCUGCAAGAGCUUUUCUGUGAUCCUAACAGAACUUAACAAAAUCGAGUAAAAUUGAAGUCAUUACAUGACCGACACAAUCAUACAAUGAUGCAGUAGUGCAAUCAGACAAAAAAGAAACAGAACAUUGCAUGGAAAGUGAACAAGGAACUAGUAAAAACUAAACAGGAAUUUAAAACUCGGCCGGUGGGGGAAAGACCGCCCCCACGGUAUUGUACUUAAGAGAGAAGGUCUCAGUACCCCGACCGAGAAAACCCCCGAACCCCCGCCCCAUCCGUACACAGGGAGACGUAACCCUGGGGUGUGGGCCGAUCUCUUUACCUGUGCUUUGGCCUGAGGCGAGCGAGGGGAUAUUUUUAACCACAGCCUGAAAUUCGCUCUCACGGGGAUUCAAACUCAGGACCUGUGGAGUGCCGCUCGAGUGUCUUAGCCACUAGACCAAGCACCCUUUGGCACUAAACAGGAAUUUACAUCAUGCACAAUAUGGUAUUUUUUAUAAAGGAAGGAUUUUAUUAAUUCACAAUCAUUACAUCGAGUUGAUACAAUAAUCGUAAGCCUCUGCAUAAAAGCACACAGCCUAAACAAAACAACAAUAAGGUAUUGAAGUCAUGAUUCACUUCCUGCACAAUAUUGUAUUGUUUUCAACAAGAAAUCUUGUUUCACCUAACAACCAAAAUAGACCUGACCAGAGGAGUGUGAUUUCCAGCAAAGAAUCUAUCUAUUAGUGAGAUAGACAAUCAAUUUUAAUCCCUUUCUUUUCCCAAAUAAUGUUGGUUAACCACCAACCACCAUGGCCUGGCCCUAAAUCCAUCGGAAGUGCCUCCUCCUCAUCUUCUUCAUCUUGGGCUGAGCUCCCAUGCCGGCACCGCCUCCUGCCAAGCUUCGGUGCCCCACCACAUCCGCCGCUGCCGCUGACCGCCACUGCUGCUGCUGCCGCCAGGCUGUCUCAUUGCCCCCCUGUCCUUGCCCCGCCCAACCGCCUUACCCCUUCCCACACUGCCUGGACAGCGGCGCCACCGCUGCCUCACCCCCACGCCGCAUCCACACCCGCAGCUACCACCGGGCCAGCCUUCUCCCCAGCAAUCCUUGUAAGCCCGCCGGAUUCACAUAAGUACCCAAAUCCUAAACCUGACUGUAACAUUGCCAGAGUUAGGAAAGAAGACAACGUGUCAUUCUUGGAAUCGGCAGAAAAAUUCAAUUGAGAGGAAGCCUUGAAUCGGUGAAGAUUAGCUUUACUCUUUCUUUAACAAAACUUCCAUUAAGAUUAGGAUGCGCUCCGCAUGCUCGUUCAUAACUUGCGGCUAGAAAUGAGCGCAGCUGUGGUAUUGUGGCAAUGUAACUGUGGCAUGACAGAACAAAAGCCGUAGUCUGAAACGGAAAAAAAUUCUCUGCACCACCGCCGCACAGAGAAGCAGUGGCGAAUCCAGAAACGGACCAUGAGGGGGGCUAAAUAACAUAGGCUAUUUUUUUUUUGUUUGCUCAAUACAGUACACUAAUAGAUAUAGCUAAGAUUGAUAAUUCAAUAUUGAUUUAAAGUGUUCAAAGGCAAAGAUUCGUAGAAUAAGCAUAGAAAAAUACCAAAUAUAUAGAAUCUUUUGCAAAAAAAAAAAGAAACCUGUUAAAAGAUUUUUGAGUCCAAGAGGGGGGCUGCAGCCACCCCAGCCCCCCCUGUGUCCGCCAAUGCAGAGAAGCACAUACGGCAUGGCCUCAUUGCGCCACACGUGUUCCCUGGCCCCACCCACCGUCCCACACCACUCAAGGCCAAUAAGCUGAAGUCAUCUCGCUGGUGGGCGGGUGGGCCUUCAACACGCGUCCCUGGCCCCACCCACCGUCCCACACCACUCAAGGCCAAUAAGCUGAAGUCAUCUCGCUGGUGGGCGGGUGGGCCUUCAACACGCGUCGUCCAUCUAACGGGCCAGCAGGACACGCGUCAUCCAUCUAAACCGUGCCGCAGCAGGAUCAGGGUGUGCGGCGGUGCUGCAUAAAAUUUUGUUCUGUCCGAAACAGGUAAAACGCCUAUGAUGAUGUGAGUGUGACAAGAGCAUUUAGAACAUAACUUGGGAAACUGAAACUUACUAAUCACACACCAAUUUACAACACCUGGGCCCGUUUAGUUCCCCAUUUGAGCCAAAAAAAUUUAGGUUUUCGCCCACUAUUCUGCAUAAUGGAGCUAAACACCAUCCAAAUUUUUUUGUCAAAAUAGUUGUCAUUUUUUAUUCUGAAUUUUGGCCUCAAGAGCCAAAAAAAAAAGCCCAAAAGGGCCUGGGACCUCAUGCCAGCCUUUACUACCCCUGAAAAUUUAUGUUGCAAUUCUGCAUUUUGGAUGCAACUAAACUUAACCUGAAAAUUUUGGCAUUUUUCAUUUCACCGUUCCAAAGUAGUUGCAAUAUAUAUUUCACGAGAUUCUUCCAAACUAAGACCAAAUCACACAAUUGGAUUCAUUCAACCUACCGAACACUUCAAGGGCUAAUCAAUCUAGUCGUCCAGUUCCUCCACACUUGCCGACUAAGAAACCAUAGAGCCAAGAACAGCCUCGCGAUCCAAUCACAAUCAGACAGCACGCCAGAAAACAGAUGAGAAGGGAUCAAGCACCUCGGUUCCGACGGAGUCGACGGCAUACUCGUAGAAGGUGCGUACGCGGAGGCGCACGGCGGCGCGGAGCUCGUCAAGCGUGACGAACUCGCGCACGGCCACCGCCGCGGGACCGCCACGCU